CAAUAGCGUAUAUUAAAGUUGUUGCGGUUAAAAAGCUCGUAGUUGGAUUUCUGUUGAGGACGGCCGGUCCGCACUAUGUGCGUGUAUCUGGUUCGGCCUUGGCAUCCUCUUGAGGAACGUAUCUGCGCUUGAUUGCGUGGAGCGGUAUUCAAGACUUUUACUUUGAGGAAAUUAGAGUGUUCACGGCAGGCAAGCGCCUUGAAUACGUUAGCAUGGAAUGAUAAUAUAGGAUCUUGGUUCUAUUUUGUUGGUUUCUAGAGCUAAGGUAAUGAUUAAUAGGGAUAAUUGGGGGCAUUUGUAUUAACGCGUCAGAGGUGGAAUUCUUGGAUUGCGUUACGACAAACUACUGCGAAAGCAUUUGCCAAGGAUGUUUNCAUUG
RNAcentral lists this ribosomal RNA (379 nucleotides) under uncultured eukaryote. RNAcentral's name for it is "partial 18S ribosomal RNA". It matches the Rfam family "Eukaryotic small subunit ribosomal RNA", at positions 592 to 975 of the family's 1831-position model. The record is from RNAcentral.